Molecule: ribosomal RNA, 503 nt
Filed under: uncultured bacterium
Lineage: Bacteria
Description: bacterial SSU rRNA
Rfam family: Bacterial small subunit ribosomal RNA
Source: RNAcentral
UAGUCCACGCUGUAAACGAUGAUCACUCGCUGUUGGCAAUACAUCGUCAGUGGCUGAGCAAAAGCAUUAAGUGAUCCACCUGGGGAGUACGUCGGCAACGAUGAAACUCAAAGGAAUUGACGGGGGCCCGCACAAGCGGUGGAACAUGUGGUUUAAUUCGAUGAUACGCGAGGAACCUUACCUGGGCUUAAAUGGCUAGAACGACGGUUUCCCGAAAGGGAUCCUUCUUCGGACGGACUGCAAGGUGCUGCAUGGUUGUCGUCAGCUCGUGCCGUGAGGUGUCGGGUUAAGUCCCAUAACGAGCGCAACCCCUAUUGUUAGUUGCCAGCGAGUAAUGUCGGGGACUCUAACGAAACUGCCGGUGUAAGCCGAGAGGAAGUGGGGAUGACGUCAAAUCAGCACGGCCCUUAUGUCCAGGGCUACGCACGUGUUACAAUGGUCGGUACAGAGGGCAGCUACUUGGUGACAAAAUGCUAAGUCUCGAAAACCGGUCUUAGUUCGGA